GAGGAGUGGCUUCCGGAGCUAACGCGUUAAAUCGACCGCCUGGGGAGUACGGCCGCAAGGUUAAAACUCAAAUGAAUUGACGGGGGCCCGCACAAGCGGUGGAGCAUGUGGUUUAAUUCGAUGCAACGCGAAGAACCUUACCUACUCUUGACAUCCAGAGAAUUUAGCAGAGAUGCUUUAGUGCCUUCGGGAACUCUGAGACAGGUGCUGCAUGGCUGUCGUCAGCUCGUGUUGUGAAAUGUUGGGUUAAGUCCCGCAACGAGCGCAACCCUUAUCCUUUGUUGCCAGCACAUUAUGGUGGGAACUCAAAGGAGACUGCCGGUGAUAAACCGGAGGAAGGUGGGGAUGACGUCAAGUCAUCAUGGCCCUUACGAGUAGGGCUACACACGUGCUACAAUGGCGUAUACAAAGAGAAGCGACCUCGCGAGAGCAAGCGGAACUCAUAAAGUACGUCGUAGUCCGGAUUGGAGUCUGCAACUCGACUCCAUGAAGUCGGAAUCGCUAGUAAUCGUAGAUCAGAAUGCUACGGUGAAUACGUUCCCGGGCCUUGUACACACCGCCCGUCACACCAUGGGAGUGGGUUGCAAAAGAAGUAGGUAGCUUAACCUUCGGGAGGGCGCUUACCACUUUGUGAUUCAUGACUGGGGUGAAGUCGUAACAAGGUAACCA
RNAcentral lists this ribosomal RNA (669 nucleotides) under uncultured Providencia sp. RNAcentral describes it as "bacterial SSU rRNA". It matches the Rfam family "Bacterial small subunit ribosomal RNA", at positions 834 to 1502 of the family's 1533-position model. Lineage: Bacteria; Pseudomonadati; Pseudomonadota; Gammaproteobacteria; Enterobacterales; Morganellaceae. The record is from RNAcentral.